AUGGCGCCGCUGUUGACCACGGCCAGGACGUGCUCGAGCUUGGCGGAGAGGUUGCGGAGCGCGGCGAGGCACGCCAGCCUUGUGUCGGCUGGGACGUCGGUGGCGGUGCGCGCGGCGACGAGGAAUGGGAGGAGGUCGGCCGUGGAGAGCGGAAACUCGGUGUUGGCCAGCGAGGAGACGGAGAGGAGGAGCCACGGCCACCAAAGCGAACCAGGCAUGGCGUACGGCGAAGUUGACCAUCGCGGGGUGCACACAACGCAGGAGGGCAAGAGUUUGGGCGUUUUCAUCUGCUGGCUUCUGGGCAACGGAUGCCUCUUCGGGUACAACAGCAUGCUCACCAUCGAAGAUUACUUCGUCCACCUCUUCCCGAACUACCAUCCGGUCAGAGUCAUCACUCUCACCUAUCAGCCGUUCGUGCUCGUGGUAGCUGCGGUGUUCGCGUACCAUGAGGCGAAAGUAAACACCAGGGUGCGCAACUUGGUGGGGUACUCACUCUUCUUCCUCGGCUCGCUCGCUCUCAUCAUCCUGGAUCUUGCGACGUCGGGAAGAGGUGGAAUCGCAACCUUCAUCGGCGUGUGUACGGUUGUGGCGGUGUUCGGCGUCGCGGAAGGUCACGUCGAAGGUGCCAUGACCGGGGACCUGUCCUUGAUGUGCCCGGAGUUCAUACAGUCAUUUUCUGCUGGCAUGGCUGCAUCGGGCGCAAUAACGUCGGCCCUGAGGCUGGUUACAAAAGUGGCCUUCGAGAAAUCCAGAGACGGCCUUCGCAGGGGAGCUAUGUUGUUCUUCAUUGCAUCAUGCUUCUUCGAGCUCCUGUGCAUCAUGUUGUACGCACACAUCUUCCCCAAGCUACCAAUAGUGAAAUUCUACCGUGCAAAGGCGGCUUCCGAGGGAUCUCUGACGGUCGCUGCUGACCUUGCUGCCGCCGGCCUCCAAAGACGCCCAAAACCAUCGGUAACCCCCUCAACGCCAGAUGAUAGAUCCAUAUGUACGUUCCAGGCUGAAGACCGCCCAUCCAUCCCCGAACGUUUGAGCAACAAGCAGCUCCUUAUGCUGAACAUGGACUACGCCUUGGACAUGUUCCACAUCUACCUGCUGACGUUGUCCAUCUUCCCGGGAUUUCUCGCCGAAGACCUCGGAUCGCACAGCUUGGGCUCCUGGUACGCGCUGGUGCUGAUCACGACCUACAACGACUCGGACAUGAUCGGGAGAUACGUGCCUCUAUUGGAGAGCAUCAAGGUGACGUCCCGGAGGGGACUGCUGGCCGCGGUGCUCGCCUGGUACAUGCUCCUCCCGGCGUUUUACUGCGCCGCCAGGUACGGAGGGGAGGCCUGGAUGAUCGUGCUCGUAUCGAUUCUGGGACUCGGCAAGGGAUACCUGACGGUCUACGUCCUGACCGAGGCGCCCAGACCCUACAAGGGGCCAGAACAGAAUGCUCUUGGAAACCUGCUCGUGUUUUGCCUAUUGGCAGGCCUAUGUUUAGGGGCUUUCCUUAACUGGCUGUGGCUCAUAGGCAAAGGAUGGCGAUCAAACCCAUGGCCCGCAUGUCAUCCAGACAUUUUUUGCGAGAAGAUAACGAUUUCAUAG
RNAcentral lists this ribosomal RNA (1584 nucleotides) under Triticum aestivum (bread wheat). Its description in RNAcentral is "partial small subunit ribosomal RNA". Lineage: Eukaryota; Viridiplantae; Streptophyta; Magnoliopsida; Poales; Poaceae. The record is from RNAcentral.